AUUCCCAUGUUAGUACCACUAUUUCACGCUACAGAAUUAGUGGCUAUGCUAAUGGGAUAGACAAAACUGCCAUCGUCUGAAGGGAAAGAUGCUGUGUUCAUUUUCUCUAAAUAAAUUGGCAGGACAGUUCUAA
Small nucleolar RNA from Spea bombifrons (plains spadefoot toad), 133 nucleotides. RefSeq annotates it as small nucleolar RNA SNORA29. Lineage: Eukaryota; Metazoa; Chordata; Amphibia; Anura; Pelobatidae. The transcript has a single exon. The record is from RefSeq and is a predicted model, not a curated record.